CCGGUUGAUCCUGCCGGGACCCCACUGCUAUCGGGAUAGGACUAAGACAUGCUAGUCAUGCGCUUCCUAGCCAAUUUGGGAGCGCGGCACACAGCUCAGUAACACGUGGCUAACCUGCCCUUGGGACAAGAACACCCCCGGGAAACUGGGGCUAAUUCUCGAUAGGUGAAGAACUCUGGAAUGAGUCUUCGCUUAAAAGACGCUGCGCUAUGCUUGCAGGCGCCGCCCAAGGAUGGGGCCGCGACCGAUCAGGUUGUUGGUGAGGUAAUGGCUCACCAAGCCUUUUACCGGUGCGGGCCGUGAGAGCGGGAGCCCGGAGAUGGGCACUGAGACAAGGGCCCAGGCCCUACGGGGCGCAGCAGUCGCGAAAACUUUGCAAUAAGCGAAAGCUUGACAGGGCUAUCCCGAGUGCCAUCCGCUGAGGAAGGCUUUUACCCAGUCUAGAACGCUGGGGGAAUAAGGAGAGGGCAAGUCUGGUGUCAGCCGCCGCGGUAAUACCAGCUCUUCGAGUGGUGUGGAUGUUUAUUGGGCCUAAAGCAUCCGUAGCUGGCUAGGUUAGUCCCCUGUUAAAUCCACCGAAUUAAUCGUUGGAUUGCGGGGGAUACUGCUUGGCUAGGGGACGAGAGAGGCAGACGGUAUUUCCGGGGUAGGGGUGAAAUCCUAUAAUCCCGGGAGGACCACCAGUGGCGAAGGCUGUCUGCUAGAACGCGCCCGACGGUGAGGGAUGAAAGCUGGGGGAGCGAACCGGAUUAGAUACCCGGGUAGUCCCAGCUGUAAACGAUGCAGGCUAGGUGUUUGGACGGCCACGUGCCGUUCUAGUGCCGCAGGGAAACUGUUAAGCCUGCCGCCUGGGGAGUACGAUCGCAAGAUUGAAACUUAAAGGAAUUGGCGGGGGAGCAC
RNAcentral lists this ribosomal RNA (900 nucleotides) under uncultured crenarchaeote. RNAcentral describes it as "bacterial SSU rRNA". It matches the Rfam family "Archaeal small subunit ribosomal RNA", at positions 4 to 879 of the family's 1478-position model. The record is from RNAcentral. Lineage: Archaea; Thermoproteati; Thermoproteota.